Molecule: non-coding RNA, 29 nt
Filed under: Rattus norvegicus (Norway rat)
Lineage: Eukaryota; Metazoa; Chordata; Mammalia; Rodentia; Muridae
Source: RNAcentral
UUGGUUAUCUAAUGAGAAGGCAACACAUG